Molecule: unclassified non-coding RNA, 265 nt
Filed under: Hevea brasiliensis (rubber tree)
Lineage: Eukaryota; Viridiplantae; Streptophyta; Magnoliopsida; Malpighiales; Euphorbiaceae
Source: RNAcentral
UUCACCACCCACUGCUCAAUUCAGUGAUUAACUCGCUCACUAGUCCCUAAAACCCGAGAAAUCAAACUCAGUUUGAUUGCUUACCAAAUGGAGAGACUUGCAAAAAUAAAAUGGAAGUAUUAUUUAGCUGUAAACCUAAUACAGCAAGAUAACAAGUGUUCCAAAUGCCUUAAACCUCAACUUUCCCUGUAGUUUUCCCCCAUUUUCUCAGCAACCAAACAGAGAACCACUAACAUAGUGGAAUACCAAGGCAAAUUUCAACUCU